RNAcentral lists this long non-coding RNA (1143 nucleotides) under Felis catus (domestic cat). Its description in RNAcentral is "lncRNA (ENSFCAG00000050598.1)". The record is from RNAcentral. Lineage: Eukaryota; Metazoa; Chordata; Mammalia; Carnivora; Felidae.
UACCAUUUAAUGCCUGUUUCUGUACGAUUUAGACACUGUCCUGAGAAGAUGAUAUAUCUCACUUAAUAAGAAAGAACCCCUGUGAAGCGUAUAUUAUUAUUCUUGUUUUAUAGAUGAGUCGGCUGAGCGCAAAGCAUUCCUAUUACGCGCACGUUGCUGUAUGUAUAGUGGACAGUUCUGCUCCCCUGCAGCUAACUCUGAAAUGAAGCCUGUUACCUCUCCCAGGAAUCAAACCCCUAAAGAUGAGGAUUGGAAACGAGAACUGGAAACAUGUGAAAGCCCAGACACAACCCUAAUCCACUUGAAAAAAAAAAAAAGUGACAACUUUCUUUCCUUCGGAUUAAAUUCCUGGUGUAUAUUUUUUUCUGGAGAUAAGUCUUAUUACUGAUGUUUGGAGGCAGGGUUGCAGGAGGUUUUAAAUAUCUUCAGGAGAGGGGAACACUUUUUUUCUAUCAGGGUCACUUGAAAUUAUUUACUAAAUGAUUUAGCUCAGCUCCUUUUAGAAAGAAACAAAAGAUUUGCAAUCCUUUGGCUGUUCUCACUGAUAAUACUCACCGCACCAGACAACAACAUGUAUUUCGUUCAUCUAAGUGAAGAGCAAUUCUCUUGCCUUGAAUGUCAGGGUGACCACUGAGAUUUGAAUUAAUUUUAAAAACAAAGUCUGAUAUUCCGAGUUAACCAUUUCUGAGAAAUACACAUGAGAGUGACUGAUACUCUUCGACUGUAUGAGUUAUUUUGUAUGCAUGGAUGGGUGGACAGGUGGCUGGGGAGAUAGAUAGAUGCUACUUUUGAUUAUAGAAUGGAAGAAUCAUUUUGGUUACUUUUUUCUUUUUCUGGAAUGUUUUGUUAUUGCAUAAACUUUAGCAAAUACAGACAUGUACAAAGAUGAAAAUAUCACCUUUAAAAAGACCUCUGCCUUUUUUCCCCGUUGGUUACCAGUGUCCAAACCCACAUUUCAAAGGAAGAAUGAAGACUUUGGUGGAGAGGAAGGCCCUCCCCGCUUCAGAAGCCUAAAGGGAACAAAUACAUAUAUGUUUUUUCUCCUCCCCAGAUGCUAAGCUGUGGGCAUGUGAGUUAGGCCCAUGUACAUGGAGGCUCCCUGUUGGGAUUCUGAAUUUUGAGCCCAUGAUGCAAAAGUGGCAG